GACGAACUGUGCAAACGUUAUUCGGAAUCACUGGGCUUGAAGAGUGCGUAGGCGGUUUUGUAAGUAGGGUGUGAAAGCCCCCGGCUCAACCGGGGAAUUGCGCCUUAAACUGCAAGGCUGGAGUGAGGUAGGGGUGUGUGGAACUUCCAGUGGAGCGGUGAAAUGCGUAGAUAUCGAGAGGAACACCUGCGGCGAAGGCGGGUUGCUGGGCUGACACUGACGCUGAACUGCGAAAGCUAGGGGAGCGAACGGG
This 253-nucleotide ribosomal RNA is filed under the name uncultured bacterium. Its description in RNAcentral is "partial 16S ribosomal RNA". It matches the Rfam family "Bacterial small subunit ribosomal RNA", at positions 524 to 776 of the family's 1533-position model. The record is from RNAcentral.